RNAcentral lists this ribosomal RNA (429 nucleotides) under Chloroflexota bacterium. RNAcentral describes it as "Chloroflexi bacterium partial 16S ribosomal RNA". It matches the Rfam family "Bacterial small subunit ribosomal RNA", at positions 355 to 776 of the family's 1533-position model. Lineage: Bacteria; Bacillati; Chloroflexota. The record is from RNAcentral.
UGGGGAAUAUUGCACAAUGGGCGCAAGCCUGAUGCAGCCAUGCCGCGUGUAUGAAGAAGGCCUUCGGGUUGUAAAGUACUUUCAGCGGGGAGGAAGGGAGUAAAGUUAAUACCUUUGCUCAUUGACGUUACCCGCAGAAGAAGCACCGGCUAACUCCGUGCCAGCAGCCGCGGUAAUACGGAGGGUGCAAGCGUUAAUCGGAAUUACUGGGCGUAAAGCGCACGCAGGCGGUUUGUUAAGUCAGAUGUGAACUCCCCGGGCUCAACCUGGGAACUGCAUCUGAUACUGGCAAGCUUGAGUCUCGUAGAGGGGGGUAGAAUUCCAGAUGUAGCGGUGAAAUGCGUAGAGAUCUGGAGGAAAACCGGUGGCGAAGGCGGCCCCCUGGACGAAGACUGACGAUCAGGUGCGAAAGCGUGGGGAGCAAACAGG